This 297-nucleotide long non-coding RNA is filed under the name Malus domestica (apple). RNAcentral describes it as "long non-coding RNA (MDOM_LNC017780)". The record is from RNAcentral. Lineage: Eukaryota; Viridiplantae; Streptophyta; Magnoliopsida; Rosales; Rosaceae.
GGGGACAAUACAAACCCUAAUUAUAAAAAUCAAGAGAAAGAUGAAUGUUGAAUGAAAUGGAAAAACGAAAAGCAUAGAGAGAGAGAGAGUGUGUAUAUACUUCAAAUUAACCGAAUCAAACGUUUCUGCAGAUUUUCUGCAGAUUUCUGCAGAUUUCUGCAGAUUUUUGGAGCCUAGGGAUCCAUUAAUCACAGCCCUUCAAAAUCGAUCCUACGGCCAAGAAACUUCCUUAGCCCACUAAAUUAUUUCGAGGACUAGGUGAGGUCGCCGUCGAACGGAGGGACGUUGGACUCGCCG